Molecule: transfer RNA, 91 nt
Filed under: Myxococcales bacterium
Lineage: Bacteria; Pseudomonadati; Myxococcota; Myxococcia; Myxococcales
Description: tRNA-Ser
Source: RNAcentral
GGAGGGUAUGUGCAUCGCGGUCUGCACACCAUUCUGCUAAACUGGGACGCCGAGACGAUCGGCGCAGUCGGUUCGACUCCGGCACCCUCCG